GACGAACGCUGGCGGCGUGCUUAACACAUGCAAGUCGUACGGUAAGGCCCUUUCGGGGGUACACGAGUGGCGAACGGGUGCGUAACACGUGAGUAGCCUGCCCACAACUUUGGGAUAACGCUAGGAAACUGGUGCUAAUACUGGAUAUGUGCUCCUGCUGCAUGGUGGGGGUUGGAAAGCUCCGGCGGUUGUGGAUGGACUCGCGGCCUAUCAGCUUGUUGGUGGGGUAGUGGCCUACCAAGGCGGCGACGGGUAGCCGGCCUGAGAGGGUGACCGGCCACAUUGGGACUGAGAUACGGCCCAGACUCCUACGGGAGGCAGCAGUGGGGAAUAUUGCACAAUGGGCGCAAGCCUGAUGCAGCAACGCCGCGUGCGGGAUGACGGCCUUCGGGUUGUAAACCGCUUUCAGCAGGGACGAAGCUUUUUGUGACGGUACCUGCAGAAGAAGCACCGGCUAACUACGUG
RNAcentral lists this ribosomal RNA (465 nucleotides) under uncultured bacterium. RNAcentral's name for it is "partial 16S ribosomal RNA". It matches the Rfam family "Bacterial small subunit ribosomal RNA", at positions 28 to 507 of the family's 1533-position model. The record is from RNAcentral.